AAAGGAAAAAAUAUUGAAAUAUUAUCUAAAUGAAGUAUUUUUAUAAAAUUAUUUAUUUAAGUUCGUUUAAAGAUGACUGAUUUAGUUAUGUUAUUAAAUCAAAAUAGGCGUCUUUCGGGGGAUUUGAAUUUUUUCGACUUUAAGAUUAACAACAAAUAUUAACAAGUAAAUAAGCACAAUAAAUUAGAGAGGGAAAGAGACUCGGGCCCAAAUCUGGUUUUCCUGUUCGCCUGGGCCAGUAUUUGGGCCUAAUUUUUGUUUUGGGACCAAAGGCCCAAUAUUUAGUACCUGUCUUAAACUAAUCUUCGAAAAUUGCUUUUUGUGGGCCUUUGGCCCAAUUUUUGUCUCCUUGUACCUGUCCUAAUAACUAACAAAUAAUAAUAAUAGAAGUAAAAAGGGCUUAGGCCCAGACAACAAAAAUGCAAAUUCUUGCGGAAGAGCGGGACUUUUUUAGGCCCAUCUUCUCAUUUUUCGUAUACAUUAGGUAUAUACUAGUGCAUAAGAUCUUGUAUCAACUCCAAAUCUUGUUUCGUCAAAUUUCGGGGGGACCGUCUUCAAUUUGCUAUGGUUGGUUGACUCGAUAACGAUGUUGGGUUUCAAUCCGACUCCAAAUGCAAGGGAAGAGUCUUGUGGACUCAAGGCAAGUAUCACAUACAAAAAGAAUACAACAAAGAUUAGUAUUCACACUUAAAGGGCGAACCAUGAAUUAUUUUAACAAAAUUCGCAACUAUAUACAAAUAAAAAAAAAUAAAAAGAGUUGAGGAAAAG
This 768-nucleotide long non-coding RNA is filed under the name Solanum tuberosum (potato). RNAcentral describes it as "long non-coding RNA (STUB_LNC003379)". The record is from RNAcentral. Lineage: Eukaryota; Viridiplantae; Streptophyta; Magnoliopsida; Solanales; Solanaceae.